This 253-nucleotide ribosomal RNA is filed under the name uncultured bacterium. Its description in RNAcentral is "partial 16S ribosomal RNA". It matches the Rfam family "Bacterial small subunit ribosomal RNA", at positions 524 to 776 of the family's 1533-position model. The record is from RNAcentral.
UACGUAGGGUGCAAGCGUUGUCCGGAAUUAUUGGGCGUAAAGAGCUCGUAGGCGGUUUGUCGCGUCUGCUGUGAAAUCCCGAGGCUCAACCUCGGGCCUGCAGUGGGUACGGGCAGACUAGAGUGCGGUAGGGGAGAUUGGAAUUCCUGGUGUAGCGGUGAAAUGCGCAGAUAUCAGGAGGAACACCGAUGGCGAAGGCAGGUCUCUGGGCCGAUACUGACGCUGAGGAGCGAAAGCGUGGGGAGCGAACAGG